CUACGGGCGGCUGCAGUGAGGAAUAUUGCACAAUGGGGGGAACCCUGAUGCAGCAACGCCGCGUGGAGGAUGACGCAUUUCGGUGUGUAAACUCCUUUUAUAUGCCAAGAAAAUGACGGUAGCAUAUGAAUAAGCACCGGCUAACUCCGUGCCAGCAGCCGCGGUAAUACGGAGGGAGCAAGCGUUAUUCGGAAUCACUGGGCGUAAAGGACGCGUAGGCGGGUUUUUAAGUCAGGUGUGAAAUCCUACAGCUCAACUGUAGAACUGCACUUGAAACUGGGAACCUAGAGUAUGGAAGGGGCAGGUGGAAUUAGUGGUGUAGGGGUAAAAUCCGUAGAUAUCACUAGGAAUACCGAAAGCGAAGGCGACCUGCUGGGACAUAACUGACGCUGAGGCGUGAAAGCGUGGGGAGCAAACAGGAUUAGAUACCCUUGUAGUC
Molecule: ribosomal RNA, 439 nt
Filed under: uncultured bacterium
Lineage: Bacteria
Description: partial 16S ribosomal RNA
Rfam family: Bacterial small subunit ribosomal RNA
Source: RNAcentral